UUUCUUCUUUCCCACGAAGACCAAGGCACCAACACAACUCGCCCUCCGCUGGAAGAAAAAAAGAAAAGAAGCAGAAGAAGAAGAGCGAAAACCAAAAACCCCAACGAGAUGAUGCUGCCCCGGCGACCGGAGUGCAGCCGGGACUAGGGGAACCGCCCGUCGCGUCGCCGUCCUCCUGCCGCGCCCUCCCCGCCACUCGCCACCGCCAGCACCCGCUCGUCGCCUCCCGCCACGGUCAGCUUUGUCGCCGCCCGCCUCGGUCAGCUCGUCCCCGACCCCGACCAGUCCUUCCUUCGAGUAAUCGAGUCGCCGGCUCCGCCCGCUCCAUUGAAUCUCGAUGAUGACAGAGGCCUAUCCUGAGAUCCCUGUUUCCACAGGAAGGACAGAAGCCUCGCCGUUUGUGAGGUAUGAUCAUUUCAUGGAUGACUGUAGCUGGGAGGUUUUUAAGGAUGGAUCAAAGCCCCUUAAAGAAUUCAAGAAGAUGAAGCCUAUGGUGGCAACUGCACCGUGUAACACUGUACGUGAAGGGAGGCUACUUCUAGCAGGUGAACGAUAUUGAUUCACUCGCAGGGUUGCAACUGAAUCUAGCAAAAGGUACACCCGAACCCUGCUGAAAUGUCUUUGGCAGAAUGAAAAGAAUGAUGAGUGUUUCGGCGACUUCAAUGAGGAAAACUUGUAUGCCUCUCGCUCGGGCAGAGCAAAAUUUAUUGAGUGAAGCGCAUCAGGCAUGAUGGCGUGCAGGCAAAGCGAAACCACAACGCUGCACAUGAUAUAAUCGCUGCCCUGUUUUCCACCGGCAAUGGUAAAGGCAUUCCCGAAGAUAUAUUCAGCACUUGCUCAAUCUGAUUAAGAAUUAUCCUGCAAAAGGUGGACUAUAUCAUAUGCACGCUUCAUUGAUCCCACUGUCAAAGAUGCAAGCAGCCUACUUCAAGAUGUAUGAACAGCUGACCUACAAGAUGGAUGAAGAAGCGCAAGCAAACAUUCGUCUCAAGCUUCCAUAUAUUGAAGAAUGGAGGAAGAGAUUUAAUGGUAACAGGUUGCCCGAGGGUAUCUAUUACUUCAAGCCAAAAACAUAUGAAGUAUCUGAACCAGAGCAACAGCCACACCAGCUUACAUUCCAGGAGCAGGUUGAGCAAGACAAGAAAAGGAAAAAGAGAAGAAUCAUAAAAAAUGGUCAAGUACCUGAGGCAUCGAACUGCUCACAGAAUGGAAGGUGUCAAGAAGGAAAUAGAGCUUGGGAUGGGUGCAUAUGAGGCAGAGGAUACUGAGCUGGUCACAAUCCUACGCUAUCCCCUAUCCUUUGUUUGGCUUCAGGAGGAGUUGUUCGAUGCAAAUGAACUUCAAGGGUUGAAGAUGGAUGAGCUAUUUUAAUUGAACCUACAUUGCUCAGCUAUUUUAGUGGCAUGUACUUCAGGUCUAAAGCCAAACCUGUCAUGUAACAAUGGCAUUUUAGUUUUAUUCUCAUACAUUGGUCAGCUGUUGUUACUCUUAUUUUGUUAAGAACGCAUUUGACAAA
This is a long non-coding RNA of Panicum hallii, 1516 nucleotides long. RefSeq lists it as uncharacterized. The record is from RefSeq and is a predicted model, not a curated record. The transcript has 3 exons. Lineage: Eukaryota; Viridiplantae; Streptophyta; Magnoliopsida; Poales; Poaceae.